GACGAACGCUGGCGGCGUGCUUAACACAUGCAAGUCGAACGGAAAGGCCCUGCUUUUGUGGGGUGCUCGCGUGGCGAACGGGUGAGUAACACGUGAGUAACCUGCCCUUGACUUUGGGAUAACUUCAGAAAACUGGGGCUAAUACCGGCUAGGAGCUCCUGCUGCAGGGUGGGGGUUGGACAGUUUAGGCGGUUGGGGAUGGACUCGCGGCUUAUCAGCUUGUUGGUGGGGUAGUGGCUUACCAAGGCUUUGACGGGUAGCCGGCCUGGGAGGGUGACCGCCGACAAUGGUACUGAGGUACGGCGCAGAGUGGUACGGGAGGCAGCAGGGGGGAACAUGGCACAAUGGGGGGGCGCGUGAUGCAGAAAUCCUGCGAGCGGGAAGAACGCCUUCGGGUUAUAAACCGCAUUCGGCUGUGACGAAGCGUGAGUGACGGUAAUGGGUAAAGAAGCACCGGCUAACUACGUG
Molecule: ribosomal RNA, 468 nt
Filed under: uncultured bacterium
Lineage: Bacteria
Description: partial 16S ribosomal RNA
Rfam family: Bacterial small subunit ribosomal RNA
Source: RNAcentral